RNAcentral lists this ribosomal RNA (753 nucleotides) under uncultured Pseudomonas sp. RNAcentral describes it as "bacterial SSU rRNA". It matches the Rfam family "Bacterial small subunit ribosomal RNA", at positions 28 to 776 of the family's 1533-position model. The record is from RNAcentral. Lineage: Bacteria; Pseudomonadati; Pseudomonadota; Gammaproteobacteria; Pseudomonadales; Pseudomonadaceae.
AUUGAACGCUGGCGGCAGGCCUAACACAUGCAAGUCGAGCGGUAGAGAGAAGCUUGCUUCUCUUGAGAGCGGCGGACGGGUGAGUAAUGCCUAGGAAUCUGCCCGGUAGUGGGGGAUAACGUUCGGAAACGGACGCUAAUACCGCAUACGUCCUACGGGAGAAAGCAGGGGACCUUCGGGCCUUGCGCUAUCAGAUGAGCCUAGGUCGGAUUAGCUAGUUGGUGAGGUAAUGGCUCACCAAGGCGACGAUCCGUAACUGGUCUGAGAGGAUGAUCAGUCACACUGGAACUGAGACACGGUCCAGACUCCUACGGGAGGCAGCAGUGGGGAAUAUUGGACAAUGGGCGAAAGCCUGAUCCAGCCAUGCCGCGUGUGUGAAGAAGGUCUUCGGAUUGUAAAGCACUUUAAGUUGGGAGGAAGGGUUGUAGAUUAAUACUCUGCAAUUUUGACGUUACCGACAGAAUAAGCACCGGCUAACUCUGUGCCAGCAGCCGCGGUAAUACAGAGGGUGCAAGCGUUAAUCGGAAUUACUGGGCGUAAAGCGCGCGUAGGUGGUUUGUUAAGUUGGAUGUGAAAUCCCCGGGCUCAACCUGGGAACUGCAUUCAAAACUGACUGACUAGAGUAUGGUAGAGGGUGGUGGAAUUUCCUGUGUAGCGGUGAAAUGCGUAGAUAUAGGAAGGAACACCAGUGGCGAAGGCGACCACCUGGACCAAUACUGACACUGAGGUGCGAAAGCGUGGGGAGCAAACAGG